RNAcentral lists this transfer RNA (69 nucleotides) under Ictidomys tridecemlineatus (thirteen-lined ground squirrel). Its description in RNAcentral is "Spermophilus tridecemlineatus (thirteen-lined ground squirrel) tRNA". It matches the Rfam family "tRNA". Rfam says of the family: Transfer RNA (tRNA) molecules are approximately 80 nucleotides in length. Their secondary structure includes four short double-helical elements and three loops (D, anti-codon, and T loops). Further hydrogen bonds mediate the characteristic L-shaped molecular structure. tRNAs have two regions of fundamental functional importance: the anti-codon, which is responsible for specific mRNA codon recognition, and the 3' end, to which the tRNAs corresponding amino acid is attached (by aminoacyl-tRNA synthetases). tRNAs cope with the degeneracy of the genetic code in two manners: having more than one tRNA (with a specific anti-codon) for a particular amino acid; and 'wobble' base-pairing, i.e. permitting non-standard base-pairing at the 3rd anti-codon position. The record is from Rfam by way of RNAcentral. Lineage: Eukaryota; Metazoa; Chordata; Mammalia; Rodentia; Sciuridae.
GGGGAUGUAGCUCAGUGGUAGAGCAUUUGCUUGGCAUGUAUAGGGUCCUGGGUUCAAUCCCCAGUACCA